GACGAACGCUGGCGGCGUGCCUAAUACAUGCAAGUAGAACGCUUAAGGAAGAGCUUGCUUCUCUGUAUGAGUUGCGAACGGGUGAGUAACGCGUAGGUAACCUGCCUGGUAGCGGGGGAUAACUAUUGGAAACGAUAGCUAAUACCGCAUAAUAGUAGAUGUUGCAUGACAUUUUCUUAAAAGGUGCAAUUGCAUCACUACCAGAUGGACCUGCGUUGUAUUAGCUAGUUGGUGAGGUAACGGCUCACCAAGGCAACGAUACAUAGCCGACCUGAGAGGGUGAUCGGCCACACUGGGACUGAGACAAGGCCCAGACUCCUACGGGAGGCAGCAGUAGGGAAUCUUCGGACAUGGACGGAAGUCUGACCGAGCAACGCCGCGUGAGGGAAGAAGGGUUUCGGAUCGUAAAGCUCUGUUGUAAGAGAAGAAAGAGUGUGAGAGUGGAACGUUCACACUGUGACGGUAUCUUAACAGAAAGGGACGGCUAACUACGUG
Molecule: ribosomal RNA, 495 nt
Filed under: uncultured bacterium
Lineage: Bacteria
Description: partial 16S ribosomal RNA
Rfam family: Bacterial small subunit ribosomal RNA
Source: RNAcentral